GUUGACAUGUCAUCACUUCAUUUUUUUGCGCCUGCUCAUCAAUCUGAAAAACAAACCACAUUUGUUCCGGACCUGGAAUGCCUUCCGGACCUGGGAUCCUGCCUUCUGAUGGAGAUAAUCAAAGGGCUCUUUAUACUGUGCUCCUGUUUGGUGGCUUUACCAGCAACAUCCGAGAGGACUAUUACUAAGGUACAGCUGCUGACUGGGAGAAGGGAAGACACCAUAAAUGUACCUCAUACGGUAUGUAUAGCUGUGUUGUUGGGAUGUGCCCAUUCACCAGGCUACAUACAUGAAGGCUAUUCACAGCCACGUCAGCCGUGAUACAAGUCAGUAUUCAACGAACCAUCCGUGCCUGAGGACGUCGGGAGAUGACGCGAGGAUACCUGCCACUAGGGGCAACAGUGAGCGGUUUUGCUAGGGUGUUGUGGACGGGGACGGCGGAUUGGCGUAAGCGCCUGUCUCUGAUUCCAAAAGUUGUAAGUUCAGUUGUUUUUGAGAUUUUUGUUUUUAAGCCUAUCCCAAAUCUUAACCCUUGUCUUAACCAUUCUGAGUUAAUGUCUAACCUUCCGAUUUCGGGGUUAAUGCCUAAACGUAGCCUGAAACACUUUGAAAUUUGAUGUUUGAGACACAUGGAUGAACAUCUAGUUCUGACGUGAGAAUGUGAGAGCUGGUUGGCUAUUCACUAGGUUAAAUACUGUACAUGAAAGCCACUGUUUCUGAUUGUUGCUUUUCAUCUUCUAAUUGGUUGGACUAGAAUGAAUUACCAUGCAGGUGAUGUAAGACCUAUGGACUUCUAGAAAAGGGAAGAGAAAUUGGAGUGUACAGUAUGUUGUUUGGAGGAUUAAGAUGGGAAGUGGGUCACCUUGUAAAAAAUACAUUGCACACUGGUCUUUAGAACUGUACAAAAGACAGGAAAGAAUUUGAAAGUACUGUUAAGAUUUCGUUAACCUUUGUUUUUAUCCAUAGAAUGUCAUACAGAGUUUUAUAACCACUUCUGAGUUAUUAUGGAUGCUUACAGUUGGUGUCAUGACACAUUAUACAGUGUGUUACAAAGCAUUAUAGGCAUGUACUUCAUAGAAAGUGUUACCAAGAUUUCCAACUCUACUCUAAAAUGUACUCAAUAUGGGGCCCAAGUGAUUCGUGUUCAGAAUACUUCUUCCCCAAUUACUUUCACAAAAUUUGACGUGAUUAGGUAUUUCUGAGAAAACUACGAAAUUACCGGUGAUUGUAAGUUAGUCCCCAAGUCAUCGACAGAUCCAUGAUAAAUUCCCAUUGGUCAAUACACGUCUUCCAAUUUAACAUCUUUGUUUUAUUAAAGGUGUUAAAUCAUUUUUGUCAGCACCCCCAAAUGAACCCAAGAGAUAGUUCUAUUUAAUUAGGUGAUUUACAGGGAAUCAUUUGUUAGAUAAUUUUCAACAUGGAUCUAAUUUUAAACUUUACUGCAGAGGAGUCAAAUCAGAGUAAUAAAUAUGCGAAUAAAAUAAUUCCAUGUCUCUUGC
This 1499-nucleotide long non-coding RNA is filed under the name Salmo salar (Atlantic salmon). RNAcentral describes it as "lncRNA (ENSSSAG00000083838.1)". The record is from RNAcentral. Lineage: Eukaryota; Metazoa; Chordata; Actinopteri; Salmoniformes; Salmonidae.